RNAcentral lists this long non-coding RNA (1690 nucleotides) under Ananas comosus (pineapple). RNAcentral describes it as "long non-coding RNA (ACOM_LNC043873)". Lineage: Eukaryota; Viridiplantae; Streptophyta; Magnoliopsida; Poales; Bromeliaceae. The record is from RNAcentral.
GAUUUUAUGAGACAUGAUCUCGUCGAUCCCGUCUAAAAUGGAAAUAGGGGACAGAUGCUGCGGCGGAGAGAGGAGAAGAAACGAUUUAUUGUAACGGACAUGAGAAGAAGUAAGGUCGCGCGAAGGGGGAGCGAUUUACUAUAACAGACAUGAGAAGAAGCAAGGUCGUGCGAAGGCGGAGCGAUUUACUGUUUUGCGUGGAGAAGAAGCAAGGUCGUGUGUAUUGGUUUGGUUUGAUUUAGAGGUUUAGAUAGUGAACGGUUCGCUUCGGUUCGGUUUGGUUCGGUUUGGUUCAGAGGUUCAGAGAGAGGUAGUUCAAUAGUUCGGUUCAGAUGUUUAGAGACAACAGUUCGGUUCGUUUCGGUUCAGAGGUUCAGAGAGAGACAGUUCAAGACUAAAUUACAAAUCAUUCUAGAAAAUAAUAAACGGUUAGAAAUUCUAUGUUGAUCAAAAAGGAACAAUUCAUGGCAAAAAGAACUACUAACCUGAAACCCUAGCAAGAAGGAAACGUUUAGAUCUUGUAAAUGUGAGCAUCGAUUUCUAGGGAUAAGAUAAUAAGAUUAUUAUAUAAGAAAGAAAGAUUUGAUCUUAAUAUCUAAAUUUCUUAUCGUUCAGAUUUUGGAAUAAUAACAUCAGAUGAUGGUUUCGAUCUGAAGCAAGGAUGGAUUUUAUAGGCAAAAUUGUAGCAGCGAGGAAGGUAGAAGAAUCGGCCAUGGUAGAGGAAUCGACAGACGGUAGAUUUGAUGAGACACGAUCCAUCUGAAACGGUGGUAGAUUUUAUGAGACACGAUCUCGUCGAUCCCAUCUAAAACGAAAAUAGGGGACGGAUGCUGCGGCAAAGAGAGGAGAAGAAACGAUUUAUUGUAACGGACACGAGAAGAAGCAAGGUCGCGCAGAGGGGGAGCGAUUUACUGUAACAGACAUGAGAAGAAGCAAGGUCGUGCGGAGGCAGAGGGAUUUACUAUUUUUCUUGGAGAAUAAGCAAGGUCGCGUGUAUUGGUUCAGUUUGAUUUAGAGGUUUAGAUAGUGAACGAUUCGCAUCAGUUCAGUUUGGUCCUGUUCGGUUUAGAGGUUCAGAGAGAGGUAGUUCAAUGGUUCGGUUCAGAUGUUUAGAGACAAUGGUUCUAUAGGAAAAAUAGGCAAAAAUGUAGCAGCGAUGAGGGUAGAAGAAUCGGCCAGGGUAGAGGAAUCGGCGGACGGUAGAUUUGAUGAGACACGAUCCAUCUGAAACGGUGGUAGAUUUUAUGAGACACGAUCUCGUCGAUCCCAUCUGAAAUAGAAAUAGGGGACGGAUGCUGCGGCGGAGAGAGGAGAAGAAACGAUUUAUUGUAACGGACAUGAGAAGAAGCAAGGUCGCGCGGAGGGGAAGAGAUUUAUUGUAACGGACAUGAGAAGAAGCAAGGUCGUGCGGAGGCAGAGCGAUUUACUGUUUGGCGUGGAGAAGAAGCAAGGUCGUGUGCAUCGGUUUGGUUUGAUUUAGAGGUUUAGAUAGUGAACGGUUCGCAUCGGUUCGGUUUGGUUCGGUUUGGUUCAGAGGUUCAGAGAGAGGUAAUUCAAUGGUUCGGUUCAGAUGUUUAGAGACAACAGUUCGGUUCGGUUCGGUUCGGUUCGGUUCGGUUCGGUUCAGAGGUUCAGAGAUAGGCAGUUCAAGACUAAAUUACCAAUCAUUCUAGAAAAUAAUAAACGGUUG